CUUUUUUUAAAUGACUUAGAAGAUUUUCUAUGUCAAAGAAAAUGUGAUUGGUCUACAAACAGUAAGCAAAGACAUUGAAACAAAGUUAGAUAUUUAUUUAAAUUUAUUUGCUAUACUUUAUGCUGAUGACACGAUCAUACUUGCCGAAACGGCGACUGAUCUCCAGGCCUCCUUAAAUAAAUUCAAUACGUAUUGUAACAUAUGGGGACUCAAGGUGAACGUUGAAAAAACAAAGAUAGUAGUUUUUACAAAGGGAAGAUUACAAAAGAAUUUAAUGUUUAAAUACAAUAACUCAAAUAUCGAUAUUGUUAAAGACUUUAAUUAUUUAGGGGUAUAUUUUUCAAGAACUGGGAGUUUUAAAACGGGCAAACUUCAUUUGGCAGAAAAGGCUACUAACGCAAUGUACG
This 407-nucleotide long non-coding RNA is filed under the name Mytilus galloprovincialis (Mediterranean mussel). The record is from RNAcentral. Lineage: Eukaryota; Metazoa; Mollusca; Bivalvia; Mytilida; Mytilidae.